This 511-nucleotide ribosomal RNA is filed under the name uncultured phototrophic eukaryote. RNAcentral's name for it is "bacterial SSU rRNA". It matches the Rfam family "Bacterial small subunit ribosomal RNA", at positions 888 to 1382 of the family's 1533-position model. The record is from RNAcentral.
GCAAGUUGGAACUCAAAGGAAUUGACGGGGAUUUAACACUAGUGGUGGAGCAUGUGGUUUAAUGCGAUAAUCCGCGCAAAACCUUACCAAUUCUUGACAUACUUAAAUAGUUAACUUAGUUAAAGCAAGUACUUAAAUUUAAUUAUUUUACAGGUGUUGCACGACUGUCGUCAGCUCGUGUCGUGAGAUGUUUGGUUAAUUCCUAAAACGAGCGCAACUCUUGCUUUUAAAUUUUAACGUAUUAAAAGAUUUUUUCUUUUAAAAUGCUUUAAAGGUACGGUCAACGAUAAGUUGGAGGAAGGUAAGAAUUAAGUCAAGUCAAUGUGACCCUAAUGAAUUGGGCUACUCCAUGUGCUACAAUGAAAAUUACAAAAAGUGACAAAAAAGAAAUUUUAAGUUAAUCAACAAAAAUUUUCCCAGUUCGGAUUGUAGACUGCAACUCGUCUACAUGAAGUUGGAAUCACUAGUAAUCGCAAAUCAGCACGUUGCGGUGAACACGUAACUUAAUCCU